UGGGGAAUAUUGCGCAAUGGGGGAGCCCUGACGCAGCAACGCCGCGUGCAGGAAGAAGGUCUUCGGAUUGUAAACUGUUGUCGCAAGGGAAGAAGACAGUGACGGUACCUUGUGAGAAAGUCACGGCUAACUACGUGCCAGCAGCCGCGGUAAUACGUAGGUGACAAGCGUUGUCCUGAUUUACUGGGUGUAAAGGGCGCGUAGGCGGACUGUCAAGUCAGUCGUGAAAUACCGGGGCUUAACCCUGGGGCUGCGAUUGAAACUGACAGCCUUUGAGUAUCGGAGAGGAAAGCGGAAUUCCUAGUGUAGCGGUGAAAUGCGUAGAUAUUAGGAGGAACACCAGUGGCGAAGGCGGCUUUCUGGACGACAACUGACGCUGAGGCGCGAAAGUGUGGGGAGCAAACAGGAUUAGAUACC
This 417-nucleotide ribosomal RNA is filed under the name uncultured bacterium. RNAcentral's name for it is "bacterial SSU rRNA". It matches the Rfam family "Bacterial small subunit ribosomal RNA", at positions 355 to 786 of the family's 1533-position model. The record is from RNAcentral.